AACUAUUAACAAACAGAGCUUUUAAAUCGUUGGCAUGUGAUUUGCUGUUUUUCUUUUUCAAAAAUCCCGCCUAUAUUGCACAUUCUCAGAUAUAUAUUUUUGUAUCUUGGCAAGCGAGUCCCAUUGAUACUGAUUUAUGGGAGGCGGGAGUCCGACCGACAGGGGUACUCCGAACUCCGAGCGGUCGUGUGCGCCGCUUUAUGGACCCACCAUUCGAUAAUCGAGGCGGCGAGGGAGGCAUCGAUCGGAUAUUUUCUGAGUAAGUUGAGAAAUUCCACAAUUCCAUUCUACUGGCAGUGCUGAGUUCCAGUUUAAUUCACAUGUAAUAAGUGAGUAUACAUCUUAUUUGUGUGCUCAGCUCAUCGGAUGUGUGAAAAGUGUGGCACUUUGCAAAUAUUAAUUUCAGGCGAAUUUCCUAACAUCUGGCGACGACAGCCUGGUGGACAAGUGAACCUGGAAACCGGAGACAAGCCUUUGACACGUGAUUUUGUUAUUUAUACACCUGAUGCUGAAGCUCGCUAAUUUGUGCAAAACGGAAGUGAAGCCAAGUGUCUCGAGUUGCGAAAGGUUCGCCGUUUAGGCCACAUGGAACCAGUUUCUUACAAGACUGCUACUGUUUCUCAUCCGCGGCUUGAAGCGUUUAAAGUGUAAUAAAUUUCAUGCCUCAACAAUCACAGAUAUGAGAAAAAAAAAGGAAACCUUGCGGCAAUGGCUUUACCUUGACCUCUCGACCGUGCAACAAGUGCCUCGGCUCGGAUGCUGCUUCCAGUUUCUUUCAAAUGCCGACCGCAAACAUUAAAAAAAAAUUAGAGAAGAAGGCGGCACAUUACAAACCUGGCUACCUCGUUGAUAAGAUUAGGAGUCUGGACGGGCUUAGAUAUGAACAGGGAAAGAGGAGCGUGGGAAAUUCCACGAUCCCAGUAUACACGGGAAGUGAAAAAACAGAGAACAAUGUUGAACCGAUUUUGUAUUUAACAAAAAAAUUUAAGAGCUAGAUAGUUAUAGCAAGAAUAAGAUCACUUUUUAAAUUUUUUAUGUAUUAUUAUUUAAAAAAAUUUAGAACUUUUGUGUACUGAACUGAUUUGUGAUAAAUGAAUCCCAACAACAAUAUUAUCUAUAAAA
Long non-coding RNA from Drosophila ananassae, 1122 nucleotides. RefSeq lists it as uncharacterized. The record is from RefSeq and is a predicted model, not a curated record. NCBI's taxonomy places the organism in Eukaryota, Metazoa, Arthropoda, Insecta, Diptera, Drosophilidae. The transcript has 3 exons.